GAUGAACGCUGGCGGCGUGCCUAAUACAUGCAAGUCGAGCGAACAGACGAGGAGCUUGCUCCUCUGACGUUAGCGGCGGACGGGUGAGUAACACGUGGAUAACCUACCUAUAAGACUGGGAUAACUUCGGGAAACCGGAGCUAAUACCGGAUAAUAUAUUGAACCGCAUGGUUCAAUAGUGAAAGACGGUUUUGCUGUCACUUAUAGAUGGAUCCGCGCCGCAUUAGCUAGUUGGUAAGGUAACGGCUUACCAAGGCAACGAUGCGUAGCCGACCUGAGAGGGUGAUCGGCCACACUGGAACUGAGACACAGUCCAGACUCCUACGGGAGGCAGCAGUAGGGAAUCUUCCGCAAAGGGCGAAAGCUUGACGGAGCAACGCCGCGUGAGUGAUGAAGGUCUUCGGAUCGUAAAACUCUGUUAUUAGGGAAGAACAAAUGUGUAAGUAACUAUGCACGUCUUGACGGUACCUAAUCAGAAAGCCACGGCUAACUACGUG
Molecule: ribosomal RNA, 497 nt
Filed under: uncultured bacterium
Lineage: Bacteria
Description: partial 16S ribosomal RNA
Rfam family: Bacterial small subunit ribosomal RNA
Source: RNAcentral